AAGAAAGAUAUACAUUGAAUAUCUUCUGCACCAAAUUCAUAAACUGUACGAGGUAUAUUUACAUCCAUGAAAACUAAGGUAUAAUACUUAAAAUAUCUCUGAUGGAAUUGGCACAUAAUUCUUUCGUUGUUACUCUCUUUGUUCUUUUAUCUAAACUAUUAGGAUAUAUUGUGUGUAUCUUUUUAUUAUUGGUAGAUAUUCUUUCAUUAUUGUACAGUCCUAUAGUUGAUAGGAUUUAAUACCUCUCUGUACUGUAUAUAUAUACUUUUGUGAGCAAUACGAGAAAAUUAAUUCUCCCAAAACUCUCUACAUGGUAUUAUACGCUAGUGGCUUAUCGCCAAAGAAACCCUAAUUCUUACCUCCAGCGCCGUCGAUCUUCACGGUCAGCCGCCUCUCUCCGGCGUCUUGCCGCGCCGCCGCUGCACUAAUCUGCAGCCCUCUCUCUCGACGUUGAUCAUCGCCUCCUCUCCUUUGCCUCGCGCUUCAUGGCUGCUACGACAUCAAACGAUCUUCUCCAGCCGAUUGCCAUCAAUGCAUCGGCUCAGAUCCCACUCAAAUUAGAUUCCACUAAUUACCUGGCGUGGAAAUUCCAAUUUCGAACCCU
RNAcentral lists this long non-coding RNA (604 nucleotides) under Nicotiana benthamiana. Its description in RNAcentral is "long non-coding RNA (NBEN_LNC025866)". The record is from RNAcentral. Lineage: Eukaryota; Viridiplantae; Streptophyta; Magnoliopsida; Solanales; Solanaceae.